AAGGUCCGCGCACGCAGCUCAUCGGUGGAUGCACGUCUGCUUGGCGUCGCAAUGCGGCCUGCGUCAUUUUUUGGUGUUCGCGCAAUCGGUGUGAAGCAUGUCGCAUGUGAAAUGUUUGGUAGAAGUGCCUCACGUCCAAGUCAAGCCGCAGUACGGGUGUAUGGCUGUGCGCCCUGUUCUCGGAAGCGUCAACGGCUUUCCGGCAUGCGGAUUUCAGCGUUUGGACUCGACUUUUGGUGAGGCUGUCGAUCGACCUUGGGCCUGGUGACAGCACACCCGACAUCGCCAAAGUGCAGCCUCUCAGUUGAGUGCCCCCGAAUGGACCAUCAACAUCGGAAACUGAAGCAGAGCCAGGGGGAAAAAGCUCCGGUAACACCAUGCAUUCAGUAUGGUGGCCCAGACGUGUAUGCAAGCAACCUCCUUCAUGUGGACCAAGAACUACUCUGCAGUGUCUCACAGUCUUCCAUGCGAAGCCCUCAACAUUCUCGUCUCAGUGGAAUGGCUGCCCAUCUAUCUGCGUGUCCAUCACCAAGACGGCUAGUUGUAAAGCUCCUGUACCCGUUUAAGAAAGCUUAAUGAUUUUUUUUAUUUAGUUUUCACGGUUGGCCGUAGAAUCUUAACAUUUUUGAUGUUUCUAACGUUUUUACCUGGCACAAAGUGGCGCAAUAACUUUAAACCAGUGUAAUGUAUUUAAGUGAAGCUCACUCUAAUGCCUAUGUGGUUUUGUUUGUGUUUAAGAAAUUUGAAUGUCUGAUGAGGUAACAGCAUUUAAAUUUGUCAUCGUGGCUUGGUUCAAUGAGCCGCUAGGAAAUAAGAUGCAAAACUUAUCACAUGCCAGUUGUAGCAUUUUUGUAUUCAUGACUAAAGUAUACACGUUUCAAAAGAUGGAAAGUGGGGAAAAAAAGCCUCAAGAACAUAAUCAUCCUAGGAUUGUCAUGUCCUUACAACUCUGCAAUGACUAAUGCCUCAUGCAUAUUGGGAGCAGAAUGGUCGCAAUGCCUACAGGUAUACUUGAUAAGAGACUAGCUUGCAAAAAUUUAGUUGAGAGUUAGCGCUCAUCCUGUCUGCUUCUAGUCUGUGUCCAUGCCACUUCGCGCUACAAUCAAAGAUCAUGUUACUGUACCAACUCGCCCAACUUUUUAUCCUUGUGUUAAAGACACACUCAGACUUGUUCUUACUUAUGUGACCGGUUAUUUUUGUGCUUUAUAAUAAGAUGCAGUGCUUUUCGAAUGAAAACGUGAUAUUUAGUAGUGAGGUUAUUUAAAAAAACUGUUCUGCUUAAAAUUUAAUUGAGCAAGCCUGUGCCAUUAUUCGGUGCUUAUGUCUUUGUAUUGGUAUGGUUUUACUCAUCUUCCUUUUUACUUUUAAAAUGUGCAAACAUUAUUAUGUAACCAUUUCUCUUGAAUGAAAUAAAUACUUCUGACAUUUCGUCACAAA
Long non-coding RNA from Dermacentor albipictus, 1437 nucleotides. RefSeq lists it as uncharacterized. The record is from RefSeq and is a predicted model, not a curated record. NCBI's taxonomy places the organism in Eukaryota, Metazoa, Arthropoda, Arachnida, Ixodida, Ixodidae.